Molecule: ribosomal RNA, 266 nt
Filed under: uncultured prokaryote
Description: partial 16S ribosomal RNA
Rfam family: Bacterial small subunit ribosomal RNA
Source: RNAcentral
UACGGAGGAUGCAAGCGUUAUCCGGAUUUAUUGGGUUUAAAGGGUGCGCAGGCGGGAGAUUAAGUCGGCGGUGAAAUUUUGCAGCUCAACUGUAAAAGUGCCUUCGAAACUGGUUUCCUUGAGUGUAGAUGAAGUAGGCGGAAUUUGUGGUGUAGCGGUGAAAUGCAUAGAUAUCACGAGGAACUCCGAUUGCGCAGGCAGCUUACUAAACUACUACUGACGCUCAGGCACGAAGGCGUGGGGAUCAAACAGGAUUAGAUACCCGU